This 468-nucleotide ribosomal RNA is filed under the name uncultured bacterium. Its description in RNAcentral is "partial 16S ribosomal RNA". It matches the Rfam family "Bacterial small subunit ribosomal RNA", at positions 28 to 507 of the family's 1533-position model. The record is from RNAcentral.
GACGAACGCUGGCGGCGUGCUUAACACAUGCGAGUCGAACGGAAAGGCCCUGCUUUUGUGGGGUGCUCGAGUGGCGAACGGGUGAGUAACACGUGAGUAACCUGCCCUUGACUUUGGGAUAACUUCAGGAAACUGGGGCUAAUACCGGAUAGGAGCUCCUGCUGCAUGGUGGGGGUUGGAAGGUUUCGGCGGUUGGGGAUGGACUCGCGGCUUAUCAGCUUGUUGGUGGGGUAGUGGCUUACCAAGGCUUUGACGGGUAGCCGGCCUGGGAGGGUGACCGGCCACAUUGGGACUGAGAUACGGCCCAGACUCCUACGGGAGGCAGCAGUGGGGAAUAUUGCACAAUGGGCGGAAGCCUGAUGCAGCAACGCCGCGUGCGGGAUGACGGCCUUCGGGUUGUAAACCGCUUUCGCCUGUGACGAAGCGUGAGUGACGGUAAUGGGUAAAGAAGCACCGGCUAACUACGUG